RNAcentral lists this ribosomal RNA (546 nucleotides) under uncultured Methanobacteriales archaeon. Its description in RNAcentral is "bacterial SSU rRNA". It matches the Rfam family "Archaeal small subunit ribosomal RNA", at positions 330 to 875 of the family's 1478-position model. Lineage: Archaea; Methanobacteriati; Methanobacteriota; Methanobacteria; Methanobacteriales. The record is from RNAcentral.
GCGCAGCAGGCGCGAAACCUCCGCAAUGCACGCAAGUGCGACGGGGGAACCCCAAGUGCCACUCUUAACGGGGUGGCUUUUCAGAAGUGUAAAAAGCUUCUGGAAUAAGGGCUGGGCAAGACCGGUGCCAGCCGCCGCGGUAACACCGGCAGCUCAAGUGGUAGCCGCUUUUAUUGGGCCUAAAGCGUCCGUAGCCGGUCUGAUAAGUCUCUGGUGAAAUCCCGCAGCUUAACUGUGGGAAUUGCUGGAGAUACUAUCAUGACUCGAGGUCGGGAGAGGCUGGAGGUACUCCCAGGGUAGGGGUGAAAUCCUGUAAUCCUGGGAGGACCACCUGUGGCGAAGGCGUCCAGCUGGAACGAACCUGACGGUGAGGGACGAAAGCCAGGGGCGCGAACCGGAUUAGAUACCCGGGUAGUCCUGGCCGUAAACGAUGUGGACUUGGUGUUGGGAUGGCUUCGAGCUGCCCCAGUGCCGAAGGGAAGCUGUUAAGUCCACCGCCUGGGAAGUNCGGCCGCAAGGCUGAAACUUAAAGGAAUUGGCGGGGGA